Oncorhynchus tshawytscha (Chinook salmon) is the source of this 455-nucleotide long non-coding RNA. The record is from Ensembl. NCBI's taxonomy places the organism in Eukaryota, Metazoa, Chordata, Actinopteri, Salmoniformes, Salmonidae.
GUGUGCUGAGUCAUUGGGUAGUAACAGGGCUGUGUGGUGGUGUGCUGGGUCAUUGGGUAGUAACAGGGCUGUGUGGUGGUGUGCUGGGUCAUUGGGUAGUAACAGGGCUGUGUGGUGGUGUGCUGGGUCAUUAGGUAGUAACAGUGCUGUGUGGUGGUGUUCUGGGUCAUUGGGUAGUAACAGGGCUGUGGGGUGGUGUGCUAAGUCAUUGAGUAGUAACAGGGCUGUGGGGUGGUGUGCUGAGUCAUUGAGUAGUAACAGGGCUGUGGGGUGGUGUGCUGAGUCAUUGAGUAGUAACAGGGCUGUGGGGUGGUGUGCUGAGUCAUUGAGUAGUAACAGGGCUGUGGGGUGGUGUGCUGAGUCAUUAGGUAGUAACAGGGCUGUGUGGUGGUGUGCUGAGUCAUUAGGUGGUGUGCUGAGUUACUCUGUGUAGAUGAUGACUGUUGAUUGAUGUG